RNAcentral lists this long non-coding RNA (1048 nucleotides) under Homo sapiens (human). RNAcentral's name for it is "novel transcript, antisense to KIAA1370". The record is from RNAcentral. Lineage: Eukaryota; Metazoa; Chordata; Mammalia; Primates; Hominidae.
ACUAUGGCAAUGCCGCCGCUCGCCCCGGGGCGCUAGUUUGGGGCCGGGUUUUCGGUGCAGGUGCCCGGCGGGUGCGAGGGCGCUGGAGAUGGCGGCUGGGAGACACCAGCAGAGUCCCGGAAGCCCGAGACGUCCCAGGCACUUCGGUUGCGCUCCCAGCCGGCAGAGGCGCGCCUGGAUUCUGAGACCAGGAAUCGGAGCUGCGCUAUUAGAGCGCAGGAUGGAGGAAGGUAGCCUGGGCCCAACUGAACUCACUGUGUAUUCAGAAAAUAACCCACAGUUGGGAAAUUCACAGUGCCAUUGCUUUGAAUCAAAUCCUUACUUCAUACCAGGAUGUACCAUGAUUCUUGGCAACAUGACUGGGUAUUGAUGUCUUGUCUAGCCAAUGAAAUCCACAUAGCAAAGAUGUUAUGAAGACAUGGAAACAUGAAUAUGAAAUAAAAUCAGUAUAGCUAUUUGGAUGAUUAGCUAUCGACACAAGACAGUCCCUGGUAAUUGCCUUUAAUAGUAAGGUAGCACUAGGCCAUGAAAGGUGCUUCAGUGUACCUGCCUCAUUUGUGGCUCCCUUUUGGCCAUGUGACCCUAACUCCCCUGGUCACAAGUGGCUGAACCAGCAAUCAAUACCUGACCUGAAGGCAACCCUCUAUAGGCUGGCAAGUGGCCUACAAAGUUGCUCAGUGCUAGAGAACUGAGCCCAACAGAAGUACAUUCUAAUGUUUAGUGAUUGGCCAAUCGUAUUCUUUGUGAUGGUGCUGAUGGGAAGGUAGUGAUGUGCAUCAGACAUGCAGAGUUAGUAGCAGCUGGAGCAGACACAGAAGCCUCCCUAACAAUGGGCAAUGGAGAAAGGAACAACAGACAGUUCUGAAAGAAUACCAAGUGCUCCUAAGCCAAAAGCUAUAGUUAGGCUGCUGGAGGUACUGCCAGUCCUAAAUGAUGGCAAUGAUGGUCCAUUUUUCUGUGAAACUUGACUGUAUACCUGUUAAGAUUUUUUUGUGUUCUUUUUAAGGCUCCAUGAAUGAAUCUUUCCAAUAAACAAGUUUGUAACAAA